This is a non-coding RNA of Microcebus murinus (gray mouse lemur), 1406 nucleotides long. Lineage: Eukaryota; Metazoa; Chordata; Mammalia; Primates; Cheirogaleidae. The record is from RefSeq and is a predicted model, not a curated record.
UCGAGUCCGGCUUCCAGGGAGACAGGCUCCAAACCCAGGCCUACAGCAUGAGAGCAGGGCCAGGGAGAGAGGACGCUCUUUUGUUCUUAUUCUUUCAACUAACAUUUACUGAGCCUGUGUCAGGUGCCGUACCUGGCUGGCGGACCCAGGGGUAGCUGAGACACAGCCUCGCCCUGGAGGUGCUCCUGCCGAGCCUGGGGGACUCUUGCAUGGGAACUUACUGUCCUGGGCGGUGGAGCCACAGGCCUGUCGUGUCGGUCCGGUGCAUGAUCUCUGACCCAAUCCUUCUCCAAUACAAAAGGAAAGACGAUCAAGAGAGUGAAGGCCAGCUAGCGCGGACGGACGGGCCACCGUUGGCUAGAGUCACCAGUGCACUCUUGGGGACAGCGUGAUGCGCCACCUCUGAAGGUGAUACACCUGCUCCCCCUUUGCCUUCUGCCAGGAGUGGAAGCUUCCUGAGAUCUCACCAGAAGUAGAUGCUGGCAUCGUGCUUCUUGUCCAGCCUGCAGAACCGUGAGCCAAACAGACUCUUUUCUUUAUAAAUGGCCCAGCCUCAGGUGUUCCCUUCUAGCCACCAGAACAGACAAGACAAUUCUCUUCUCUGAGAGGCUUCCUUGGCUACCUGUUUAAAACUCUGACUCAUCCCGCCCUGGCCAGCAUUCUCGCUCGCCAUUUCAGUGUCAUUUCUACUUGUUUGUUUCUCUUCCCUGCAUGGAACAGAGAUUCUUUUCUUCUUUGCCUUUUUGUUCACUGCUGUCCCUCUGUUGCUCAGAAUUUGUGCUUGACAUGCAGUGAACACUCAAUAAAUGUUUGUUGAGUACAAUAAUAAAUGAAUGAAGAAGUGGGCUUGAAUUUGCUUUUGGUUUUCUGUCUGUUUCACUGUCCAUUCACACAAUGCUACCACAGUGCUUUAAUUCUUAGAGCUUUUAUAACAUUUUUCAGUAUCAGAUGGUGUAAAUCCUUCCUCAAUUUUUCCAUAAUUCUUUUGGCCAUUCUCACCUAUUCAUUUUUCUGAUGACCUUUUGAAUCAAAAGGCUACAUUUUCACACAAAACCUUUACAACUGGAUAAAGAUGGACUAAACUGUCUUACACACGUACUUAUCUACAUUGUGCUGCACAUUAUCUAUGUUCCCAGAUUUCCUACAGGACUAGAAGCUCUUGAGGUUCAGGUUCAUCUUUGUUCUCUGGGGUCUUGGUGAGUAACAGGGGCUCAGCAGACGUUUUCUGAAGCCACAAAGGCAUACACCAGUGUGAGAAGCUUGAGGAAAGCCUGGUUUCCCAUCUGUGAUCUCCCAGAAGCAGGGGCUCAGCCCUUCUUAAUUCCAUUCAGUUCAAGUGCCAUGUAUCUACUGGCAACCCUGUUGCAUUGGGAGUCACUAGUGGCUUAUAAUAAACUUAAAAGAAA